AUAUCUCUCCGUACGGGAAGGAUGAGAAGCUUCGACUAAGGUUCGAUUCGAGCGCAGCGAGAAAGCGUUGCCGCAGGCAACGACCCGAAGGGCGAAGCGCGCAGCGCUGAGUAAUCCUUCCCCC
Molecule: small RNA, 124 nt
Filed under: Salmonella enterica
Lineage: Bacteria; Pseudomonadati; Pseudomonadota; Gammaproteobacteria; Enterobacterales; Enterobacteriaceae
Also listed under: 1 other name
Description: partial RtT sRNA
Rfam family: RtT RNA
About the family: This family represents a bacterial cis-regulatory element known as RtT RNA.
Source: RNAcentral